GGUUGAUGUUCCAGGAGGGAUAAGCCAAAUGACAAAUGAUUUAGGUAAACUAGAAAAAUGGUCAGAAUUGUGGCAACUGACAUUUAAUGUGGAUAAGUGCAAGACAAUGCAUCUUGGACGUAAAAACCCAAGGGCAGAGUACAGAAUAUUUGAUAGAGUCCUAACCUCAACAUAUGAGGAAAGGGAUUUAGGGGUGAUUAUUUCUGAUGACUUAAAGGUAGGCAGACAAUGUAAUAGAGCAGCAG
Pelobates cultripes (western spadefoot toad) is the source of this 245-nucleotide non-coding RNA. The record is from the annotation of a GenBank genome assembly. NCBI's taxonomy places the organism in Eukaryota, Metazoa, Chordata, Amphibia, Anura, Pelobatidae.